This 2393-nucleotide long non-coding RNA is filed under the name Homo sapiens (human). RNAcentral's name for it is "HSALNT0404374". Lineage: Eukaryota; Metazoa; Chordata; Mammalia; Primates; Hominidae. The record is from RNAcentral.
CAGGCUGCCAGCGUGGAAAACCGGCCACGUGCAGGUCUGGGGCUGGGCACACACAGGGUCACACCCAGGAAGGGAUAAGCUAUGCAUUUCUAUUGAUAGAGUGGGCAGGGACCACAGGAAUUUAGAAAAUAUUAGGGCCAAGUUUACUGGGGAAAAUGUACAGGCCAGCAGAUAGCAUGGAAAAGUCCCCUCCCUGAGGAAGGGAAGCAUCUCAGAGGAGGUAAGAGACUGCUCCCAGGGCUGUGGUUAGAGCCUCCCCAACCGCAGCACGAUGCCCUUUGUCCCAUCUUCAGCAGGAGGGGCUGCUCUCCAUGGAGAUGAGGCUGACAGGGUCAGCGGAGUAGCCUGUGACAGGCAGGUUUUAAUAAGUUCAUUUUCAGCCAACCCCUGAAAUGGGUUAUUUUUGUUCCAUGGGAAUGCUCUACAUCUUCUGAAAGAUGGCACCUGGGACCCAGCCCAUGGCCUUCCUGGGGUAGGAUGUGCUGGAGAAGGAUUCUGUGGACCUGACAGAGAAGACAGAAGCCAGAGAGUAGACACCCGGAAAGAAAGAGGGAAAAGUGUGGUGGGAAGGACAGAGGGGACCCGAAGUUCCCCACGCCAGGGAAAUGACAGGGGGUUGCCAGUCUGUUUCUGAUGGUUGAGCAGUCAGGGGCCCAGAGACGCAGGAAACCCAAAAUCCUUGGUCCACCACGGGGCUGUCCUCAGGGUCUGGAGAGCAGGCCCCAUACUCCAGGCCCCCAUCCUCCAGGCCCUCGUCCCCCAGGCUCCAUCCUCCAGGCCCCCAUUCUCCAGGGCUCCAUCCUCUAGGCCCCUGUCCUCCAGGCCCCCAUCCUCUAGGCCCUCAUCCUCCAGGCUCCAUCCUCCAGGCUCCAUCCUCCAGGUUUCAUCCUUCAGGCCAUCAUCCUCCAGGCCCCCGUCCUCCAGGCCCCCAUCCUCCAGGCCCCAUCCUCCAGGCCCCCAUCUUUCAGGCCCCUGUCCUCCAGGCUCUUGUCCUCCAGGCCCUCAUCCUCCAGGCCCCUGCUCCUCCAGACCCUCAUCCUCCAGACCCUCAUCCUCCAGGCCCCCAUCUUUCAGGCCCCUGUCCUCCAGGCCCUCUUCCUCCAGACCCUCGUCCUCCAGGCCCCUGUUCCUCCAGACCCUCGUCCUCCAGACCCUCAUUCUCCAGGCCCCCGUCCUCCAGGCUCCAUCCUCCAGGGCUCCUCUGGGUCCGGGUCAAGUACCUCCAGGCUCUCUGCUGACUGUUCACCACUGGGCAACCACAGGGACUCGAUCCAUGAAAACUCUGGCAAGGUCAGUUUCCUUGUUCUACAUCCCUGUCACUUUAGUCACCAUCAUGAUAUAAGUGACUGAGUCAUUGUUUUCUCUCAUAUUCCCACCCACCUCUCCUCUCUGCUUCCUCCCCAUCAACUCGACUUCCCACCGCUCACUGCAGCCCCUUCAGGAUUCCUGCUGCGACCACCUGACCCAUGCAAAAGAGACCACUUCUCAGCCUCUCUCACUCUCCUGGCCCUGGCGGAAGCCUGUGUUGUCAUAGGCAUGCUUCCCUGGAAUCCUGCUCAGGCCCCCACGCAGGGACACUGAGUGCCCACAGAGUUGGGAAACCAUUACACGAGAUGGGACGUCUGCAAUAGAGUGGCAUCGCUAGUUGAAAGUGGAGCUGUUCACAACCUCCACAACUGUACUUGGUGGCCACGUCCCCAUCACAUGGGCUCAGACUGGGGGCUGGACAUUGACUUUGAGCCCCAAGUCUUCACCCUCAUGCAAAAACCAUCCUCCUUGGAGAUGCAGGCUGGGAAGGGCGCCAUGUCCGGAGUCCCUGCCCUGCUGUCAUCUGCCGACCUUUGUGCAGCCUGUCCCUUUCGUUAAGAAUUUCAGCACUGAGUUCACUGUGUUCCUUGUCAUGCUAAGACUUGGCCACAUCCCAGCCAUCUUCAACAUGGCGGUCGAUGUUUCAUCAAAAUUCACAGUCGCUCAGAUUUUAUUUUUCCUCAUCUCUAGGAACUUCCAUCUCCACUCCACUUCUGCCACUUCUGCCACCCUCCCAUGACCACACUCAGAACUUGAGCUCCACCUCUGAAAGAGGCAGAAUUGCCUUAUCUCACACAGUGGUGACAGCACUCUGUAAUAAUCUGCAUGGGCCAGGGCUCCUUGGUUGCAGGUAACAGAUACCACUGUUACGGCCCAACUCUGUUCUUCUAUGUUGAAGCCGGAACCCCCAGCGCCUCAGAAUGGGAUCACAUCUGGAGAAGGCGCCUUUAAAGAGAACCCAUCGUAUAAAAAGGCCAUACCUUCUGGAGGGACGUCGAUGGUAUUAGGAUAGAAGCACCAGGGGACCCCACGAACGGUGUCGUCGAAACAGCAGCCCUUAUUUGCACACUGGGAGGGCGUGACAC